RNAcentral lists this ribosomal RNA (363 nucleotides) under uncultured bacterium. Its description in RNAcentral is "bacterial SSU rRNA". It matches the Rfam family "Bacterial small subunit ribosomal RNA", at positions 29 to 421 of the family's 1533-position model. The record is from RNAcentral.
AGCGAACGCUGGCGGCAGGCCUAAUACAUGCAAGUCGAGCGCACCUUCGGGUGAGCGGCGGACGGGUGAGUAACGCGUGGGAACGUGCCCUUUGGUACGGAACAACUGAGGGAAACUUCAGCUAAUACCGUAUGUGCCCUUCGGGGGGAAGAUUUAUCGCCAUUGGAGCGGCCCGCGUUGGAUUAGGUAGUUGGUGAGGUAAAGGCUCACCAAGCCUACGAUCCAUAGCUGGUCUGAGAGGAUGAUCAGCCACACUGGGACUGAGACACGGCCCAGACUCCUACGGGAGGCAGCAGUAGGGAAUCUUGCGCAAUGGGCGAAAGCCUGACGCAGCCAUGCCGCGUGAAUGAUGAAGUCUUAGGA